AGUGGGNAAUCUUGAGCAAUGGGCGAAAGCCUGACGCAGCAACGCCGCGUGGNGGAUGAAGGCCUUCGGGUUGUAAACUCCUGUCAGGGGGGACGAAUGCCGNGAGGGCNNNUUGACUGUACCCUUUGAGGAAGCCCCGGCUAACUCCGUGCCAGCAGCCGCGGUAAUACGGAGGUGGCAAGCGUUGUUCGGAAUUACUGGGCGUAAAGGGCGCGUAGGCGGCUUGGCAAGUCAGAUGUGAAAGCCCCGGGCUUAACCUGGGAAUUGCAUUUGAAACUGCUUUGCUUGAGUCCUGGAGAGGGUAGUGGAAUUCCCAGUGUAGCGGUGAAAUGCGUAGAUAUUGGGAGGAACACCAGUGGCGAAGGCGGCUNCCUGGACAGUUACUGACGCUGAGGCGCGAAAGCUAGGGGAGCAAACNGGAUUAGAUACCCCGGUAGUCCUAGCCGUAAACGAUGGGCACUUGGUGUUGGGGGUAUUGACCCCCUCGGUGCCGAAGUUAACGCAUUAAGUGCCCCGCCUGGGGAGUACGGUCACA
Molecule: ribosomal RNA, 535 nt
Filed under: uncultured bacterium
Lineage: Bacteria
Description: bacterial SSU rRNA
Rfam family: Bacterial small subunit ribosomal RNA
Source: RNAcentral